CACCCACUCUCCCCUCGUCUGCUGGAUUAUAUUGUGGCAUAAAAUUAAUUUCUGCCCCAAUGAUUGUGCCACAGUUGCCAAGGUAACCGUGGAGCUGGAGCUAACUCCCUUCUCUCACCCUUCCCAAGUUUUCUAUUUCACUAGGCAGAAUAACGUAGUCUGUGCUACAUCCUGCCUUUUGAAACCUAAAUGAGUUUUGGUUGAAGAAAUAUUGCCUUCUCUGAUUCAUUCAUGAAACUGUGGUGGCCCUGACGGCCUGUGACUAGGUAGCAAUAAUACUUCGUGAUCAUUUGAAUUGGACAAAAUAGCAGGUGGUGGAGGGAAGUAGAUAAGAAUGUAUUAGCUCAUUUUAAUGUAAUACUGAUUAAAGAAUAACUAAACAACUCUGAUUUCGUUUCCUUAUACGUAAUGUAUUAAAAGCCAUGUGUGGCUGCCUCAAGAACCUCGAACGCAUGAAAUCAUUCUUUGUCCAAACUUAGAAAGGGUUGACUGUCUGGGCACAUGGCAUCGGCGCUGACCUAACCCAGCAAACCAACUCUUGCCUCGUAUCUCGUCCAAGUUGUCUCAUGGAAUCCAAAUGCUUCUACCUCUCUCCAUAUUGUUGCGCUUUGGUCAACAGCAAACACCCCUCCCCUCUCCUUGUUUUUGAGAGGACAAGAUAGGCAGAGGUUUUUCUCAGCAUCACUUUUGGCGGAAAGAAUAUCUGACUGUCCUAAGGAUCCAGAGAACAGAAAUAAGAGCCGCUGCCAUACGCAGUUCUUCAUCUUGCAGUGAAGAACAGCAAAAUUGAUACUACCAUGAGCAACUUAUUUUCCAUGGACGCUAAGCUGAUCAUUAAACCUAUCCAAUCUUUCAGUUAUCCUAAAUUCUCAGCUCUGCUUCAAGCAAAUUUCAUUGCCACAUUGACCAAAAUGAUAAAGAAAUGUCAUUGAAAAGCAAUGGUAAUGUCAUUUACUAUAAAAAUAAUAUAUGUUAUCUGAAUUUUAUUCUUCAUUGUAAAGUAGAUUUUAGCAGAAUAUUAUUUUAACUGAAAUGUCUCAUAUUUUAAUGCAGCAUUCAUCAUCUGAGUUUUCAUGAUGACAAAAACCAGGCAAAAAUUUCCAGUACUUAAUAAGUUAAUAACUAAAUGAAGAAAUCCUAUUUAAUCUAGCUAAACUUCGAGUUUAUAAUUGUAUUACUGCAUACUAAAUUAAGUUGAAUGUCUGUCUGCUCCAGAAUAAAUUAUAUCAUAUGAUUGAGACAUGGCCUCACAUAUUAUCAAAUCAGCAAAGGGUAAGCAAACAGUAAGCAUUUUCAAAAAAUAUAUAGACUGUGGAGGGAAAAGAUAUCAACAAAAUCCUAUGUUUAUUAACUCAGAAACAGUAUUUUGGAAAACUAUUCUCUGGGAUAUAUAUGCCUCUAUAAGGAUGUAUUUGGGAUUGCUAAAAACUACAAGCUGUCUUCCACAAGAGGAAGCAGCAUUUAGAAAGUUCUUAAAUUGUGACCUAAUAUGUGUCUAAAGGCUAAUGAUUUCACGUAGGGCUUGUCUUGGUUAGAAGGACUCACAUGAAGCUACAACAGGGACGUUUGCCCCACCUGAGCCUGUGGUCAAGGCAAAACCUUGAUAAAGAUGCCGAGGCUUUUUAACACUGGCUGGAAAUGAAAGGAACUGGGCUGCACACCUCUGCCCUAUCCAUGGAUGAGAAUAUAGCCCCUUCUCUGCUCAAAAAACUGCAACACUACCCUUUCCACUCAGAAUAAAAGCCUGAGCUCCCCCUUCAUCCCUCCAUUUCACCCCCCCCACCACCACCACCACCUCCUUGCUGACCUCGCACAUACUAGGCACACUCACAUUUCUGGCCUUCCCACUGGCUGUUCCCUUGCCUGGAAAUCCUUCCCCAUGGCCUCACAGCUAACUCCUCCUCCUUGAAGUCUUUGCUCAAAUGUCACCUUCUCAAUGAGGUCUCCGCUGACUGCACCUGCCCACAUGGACUCACAAUCCUUCCUCUGCUCAAAUUUUCCUCUCCUCCUAGCAUUUAUAUUAUAUAAUUUAUUUAUUAGGCUCAGUGUUUAUAGUCUGGCUCUAGAAAUAUAAAUUCCAUGACAUCGGAGAUCUCUGUCUAUCUUGUUUAUUGAUGUAUUCCAAGCAUUUAGAAGAGAGGGUCUGGCACAUGGUAGAUUGCUCAAUAAACCUUCGAUGAAUAAAUGAAUGAAUUCACAUGAUAGGUGCCUAAUUAAGUUAUGCUAUCAGAGAGAUUAGUUAAAAGCAAUGUAUAAUAAUGAUAUCAAUUUGAUGAUACACCAAAAGCAUACGUUUAUUGAGUACGUACUGCAGAUUAAGUACAUUCAAAGCGUUUUACAUAGAUAAUCUCAUCUAAUGCUCAUGACAAUCCCAUGAGGUUGGUUAUCUAUGUUUAUCGCCACUGUAGAGUCAAGGUUAAUUAAGUAAUUUGCCCCAAGUCACAAACAAGGAAGUGAUGGAGCUGGGAUUUAAAGUCAUGCAAGAGUCCUCAUGCUUAACCGUGGGGAUCACCUUCAUCCACUAGGCAUUGGGCUCUCUUGCCAAUCAUGUCUCUGUCUAUGGACAUGGGCUCCACAUGGUGCAGCAAUCCAGCUUCAGUUUAUUUCCUGGUUAUUUGUUAACUUGGUUGCAUUAGCACUCCUCUGAUUAGUCCAUGUGAGAUCAUAAAGUAUUUCUAUUCACAAGAUGUGCAUUCACAAGUACAAAGUGGACCCUGGACCAGAGAUGAGUGGGACAAUGGAUCUAACUGGGGGACACCAAUAAGGUGAGCAUGACUAGUGUUGAGUGGUGUGAGGGUCCCUGAGUGGGAGGGAGACAAGAAGACAAUCUGAAAAUCCAGGAGGACUCACCCAGGGUGGGAGCAGGAUGUACUAUGAGCAACUGAAAGAGUACCUAAGAAAUUUCUAGGUCUUGCUCCUUGCUGUGAAAUGGGAAAAAAGCAUGCAUUUUAUUCAUCCUUGUAGGGAAACAAGCAGACUUUUAAGAAUUAAUAAGCAGAAUCACCAAAAGCAGAAGAUCUUAGUUUGACAAUAAGAGGUUUGUAGAACUGUUAAUAUUUUUGCUAAUUUUUCUGCUCUACUAAAAAAAUUCUUCAGCCAUGAUAUAAAAUAUGAACAAUUAGACAUAUGCAACGAGAGUCUAGAGCAAGGUGUAGCUGUGAAAUUUAUUAAUGCAUAUAAUCCAUAAACUAAAUUUAGAAAUAAAUAGGAAUUACAUUACAUUGUAAAGCAACAUCCAUUCCAUCCACCUGACUUGUACAGCAUCCUUUCAGGUCACCAAGAGUUAUGCAGACCAUAAAUGUUCUCCGGUUCCUGGUUCCAUCGGGGGAUCUUUAAUAUGUCAGGACAUAAUGCCAGUCUAUGUUUUAAGGUGGGAUGAAAUAAGUAUGCUGUGAGGGAAUGAAUGACUUUUAUCUUCCCAUUCCUAGGGCUUCAUGGAUGCUGUCCACGAAAAGGUUCAACUACAGAACAUAGAAGGAGGCAGCAUUUGUUAAAAGAGGAGCAAGUAGGGGUGUUUGUUUGUUGUUUGUUUGUUUUUUAAUAGUGAACCAUUAGAUUCAGCAACUAUUGAACCAUGGAAGAUAAAGAAAAUUUAUUCAAAAGGCAAGCCCCAUUUCACACUCCCAAGAAUAAUUUUUUAAGACAUUUCCAACCCUAGCACAAGCUUUUUAAGGUUGUGCAGAUAAACAUAAGGUGUAGCUUUGGUAUUAAGCACUGGCAGGGCAUUAUCUGGACAUUGGAUUCAGCUAAACCCUCUGAGCUUAUGGGUUUGAAAUAAAAGAAAUAAAAAAUGGCAAAUCCAGAAAGUCCCUUAAGAGCUGCAAGCUAAUGAUUGCCAUGUUGUCUGUGUUCAUUCAGAAGAAAGAUUAUGCUGCCCUUGGGCUCAUUCUGUUUAAUUGGAAUUUUCAUUAUCUCUCUUAAGUGACUGCAGAAAGUGACUUGGAUAGAGAAAUGUGGAAGAAAGGGACUCAAGUUUCUCAUCCACUAACAAGAGGAAGGGAAGACAAAUGAAAUGUGGAGACUGAAUGUCAGUCGCAUGCUGGGGAGCAAUGGUGACUCACCCAGGGACAGUCGCUGCUUUCAUUUAGUGCUAGGCAACCUGCCAAGUAUUUUACUUGGGUUAUCAGACUUAAUCUUCACCACAACCUUAUGAGAAUGUUCACCUGCUACCCUGGGGACAAAGCUUCUUUCACCAUGAGGAUCAUAAAAUUAGUUGCCCCUGAAAAGCCCAAAGGAACCUUGGAAGGCAAUGAUGAGGAAAGUAUACAAGAUGAAAUGAAUGCUUUCUUCACAGCAUAGAUAGGGUGAGUCUGAUGAAAAUGCCAGUGAAAGCUAUGGUCAUCAAUUUGAUGGGUCAAAGGGAGGAAACAUGGGCUCCCUGCUCCUGCCGCAGGUGGUAACGAGGCCACUGUCUGGGGAAUGCAGCCUGACUGCCGAAGGUAAGAACAGUCAGAGGAACAGGAGAGCUCGUGCGCCUUUGAUUCAGAGGGAUUCACACCUUCCAAUUAUCCAAUAAAACAGUUUCAUUCCUAACCAGACUUAAUCUUCCAAGGAAGACAAGUACAAGAGUCCUCCCUUACCUGUGGGGUAUGUGCUCCAAGACCCCCAGUGGAUGCCUGAAACUGUGACGAGUACAGAAUCCUGUAUAUGGUAUGAUUUUCUUAGACAUAAUACCUAUGAUAAAGUUUAACUUAAAAAUGAAGCACAGUAAGAAAUUAACAAUAACUAAUAAUAAAUUACAAGUAAAAUAAUACACCAUAAUAAAAGUUAUGUGAAUGACUUUAGGGCCCUUAUUAAGUAAAAUAAGUGUUACCUGAACACCAGCAUGGCAAUACCAUCACAGUCACUCUAACUGAGAUGGCGACUAAGUGACUAACAGGCGGGUAGGGUACACAACGAGGAGAUGCUGGACAAAGGGAUGAUUCGCAUCUCCCAUGCAUGGAUUGGAGUAAAAUGAGGCAAUAGUUCAUCACACUACUCAGAACGGUGUGCAAUUUAAAACUUAUAAAUUGUUUAUUUCUGUAAUUCUCCAUUUAAUA
Hipposideros armiger (great roundleaf bat) is the source of this 5039-nucleotide long non-coding RNA. RefSeq lists it as uncharacterized. The record is from RefSeq and is a predicted model, not a curated record. NCBI's taxonomy places the organism in Eukaryota, Metazoa, Chordata, Mammalia, Chiroptera, Hipposideridae. The transcript is spliced from 4 exons.